Molecule: long non-coding RNA, 443 nt
Organism: Raphanus sativus (radish)
Lineage: Eukaryota; Viridiplantae; Streptophyta; Magnoliopsida; Brassicales; Brassicaceae
Exons: 3
Source: RefSeq, a predicted model, not a curated record
UUCAUGUGCACUGGGAGGGUUGUUCGUGUUGACACCGAUAAGGGGUGGUGCUAUGUUGCUUGCUCCAAAUGCAGUAAAAAAAUUGCAACAUACUGACUCUGCCUAUACAUGUGGACAAUGCAAUAAUUCGCAUGCUGUUGGACUCUUCGCUAUCAUGUGGAAUGGCUAUAUCUGAUGAUACUGCGGAAAGCACUUUCGUUUGGUUUGACGGGGUAAUGACUAAACUGCAUAGUCUCCGAGCAAGUGAGGCUGUACAGAUGCUGGCUGAGGACGAAGUGAAUCCUGAGGAUUCCAGGAUACCUCCGUUUAUUGCAGAAAUGGAAGGAAGGACGUACACGUUCUAAGUUAGAGUCACUGCGUAUAACUUCACCGAGCAUCAUAAGACAUUCACCGUAACGCGUGUUGCUGAAGAUCAUGGUCGUUUGCCAGAUGAUGACGUGGAU